CCUANGGGCGGCAGCAGUGAGGAAUAUUGCGCAAUGGGGGCAACCCUGACGCAGCAACGCCGCGUGAGUGAGGAAGGUUUUCGGACCGUAAAGCUCUGUCGAGCGGGAAGAAAUGCAUGGUGGCUAAUAUCCAUCUUGCUUGACGGUACCGCUAAAGGAAGCACCGGCUAACUCCGUGCCAGCAGCCGCGGUAAUACGGGGGGUGCUAGCGUUGUUCGGAAUCAUUGGGCGUAAAGAGCGUGUAGGCGGCUGGAUAAGUCAGAUGUGAAAGCCCUGGGCUUAACCCAGGAAGUGCAUUUGAAACUGUUCAGCUAGAGUAAGGGAGAGGAAAGUGGAAUUCCUGGUGUAGAGGUGAAAUUCGUAGAUAUCAGGAGGAACACCGGUGGCGAAGGCGACUUUCUGGCCCUAUACUGACGCUGAGACGCGAGAGCGUGGGUAGCAAACAGGAUUAGAUACCCGUNUANUC
This 466-nucleotide ribosomal RNA is filed under the name uncultured bacterium. RNAcentral describes it as "bacterial SSU rRNA". It matches the Rfam family "Bacterial small subunit ribosomal RNA", at positions 338 to 795 of the family's 1533-position model. The record is from RNAcentral.